RNAcentral lists this long non-coding RNA (730 nucleotides) under Marmota monax (woodchuck). The record is from RNAcentral. Lineage: Eukaryota; Metazoa; Chordata; Mammalia; Rodentia; Sciuridae.
GAAGAGCAGUUAGAUCAUGGACUCCUACCUUUUCUCCUUGGUAACACCAUUGCUAUGAAGGAGAACAUUUUUUACUUAUGAGACCAAAGCCAGCCUUUCUCUUCUUUGUUUUUGAUUCUCUGCUCCAUCUCACCACAGGAGACUCUUCCAGUGUGCAUCAAGGCUGGCUGAACCCAGCUGGCUGUACUGAGUUUUCAGAGUGACUUGGACACUGGGGACAAUCUGGCUCAUUUACCAGCAUCUGAUUUUUUGGCCCAAAGAACAAAAUCUCAUAAACAGCAUUUACAAAGGCUCAGUUUUCCAGGGUAUCAAGCUUUGUGGCAACCUUCUUCUUGGAAAAGACACAGUGUUUUCGCCUUAGUCCAGCUCAUCAUUACAUUGACAACACUUCCUUUUGUAAGGACUGACUGGAAUUUAACUGAAAAAUAAGAGCAAAAGGGAAAAAGAAAAAUUCUAAAUAAUCCAAAUGGGGUUGGAGAAAAAAACUAAAUAGCAAAUCUCUCUAACAAAUUCAAUAAUACAAACUCCUGAACCCAAUUUUCUAAAAUAAACACUUAAGAAUCUAUGAGUGCUUAAUCAAUUGAAUUCCAGUCCCAUUGAAGUCAUUAAUAUAUAAUAACAAAUACCAAAUGUCUUCUUUGAUAUAAGGAGAGCAACUAAGAACAGAGCAGGGAGGAAGAGCAGGAAGAAAAGAUUAACAUUAAACAGAUACAUGAGGUGGGAUGGAAAG